UACGGGGGGGCAAGCGUUGUUCGGAAUUACUGGGCGUAAAGGGCGCGUAGGCGGCCUGCUAAGUCGGACGUGAAAUCCCUCGGCUCAACCGAGGAACUGCGUCCGAUACUGGUGGGCUUGAAUCCGGGAGAGGGAUGUGGAAUUCCAGGUGUAGCGGUGAAAUGCGUAGAUAUCUGGAGGAACACCGGUGGCGAAGGCGGCAUCCUGGACCGGUAUUGACGCUGAGGCGGCGAAAGCUAGGGGAGCAAACAGGG
This 254-nucleotide ribosomal RNA is filed under the name uncultured bacterium. RNAcentral describes it as "partial 16S ribosomal RNA". It matches the Rfam family "Bacterial small subunit ribosomal RNA", at positions 524 to 777 of the family's 1533-position model. The record is from RNAcentral.